Molecule: ribosomal RNA, 468 nt
Filed under: uncultured bacterium
Lineage: Bacteria
Description: partial 16S ribosomal RNA
Rfam family: Bacterial small subunit ribosomal RNA
Source: RNAcentral
GACGAACGCUGGCGGCGUGCUUAACACAUGCAAGUCGAACGGAAAGGCCCUGCUUUUGUGGGGUGCUCGAGUGGCGAACGGGUGAGUAACACGUGAGUAACCUGCCCUUGACUUUGGGAUAACUUCAGGAAACUGGGGCUAAUACCGGAUAGGAGCUCCUGCUGCAUGGUGGGGGUUGGAAAGUUUCGGCGGUUGGGGAUGGACUCGCGGCUUAUCAGCUUGUUGGUGGGGUAGUGGCUUACCAAGGCUUUGACGGGUAGCCGGCCUGAGAGGGUGACCGGCCACAAUGGGACUGAGAUACGGACCAGACUCCAACGGGAGGCAGCAGGGGGGAAUAUGGCACAAUGGGCGGAAGCCUGAUGCAGCAACGCCGCGUGCGGGAUGACGGCCUUCUGGUUGUAAACCGCUUUCGCCUGUGACGAAGCGUGAGUGACGGUAAUGGGUAAAGAAGCACCGGCUAACUACGUG